AGAACGAACGCUGGCGGCAGGCCUCAAACAUGCAAGUCUAGGGGGCGUAGCAAUACGUCACCGGCGGACGGGUGCGUAACACGUGGGAAUGUACUUACUGGUUCGGAACAACUCAGGGAAACUUGAGCUAAUACCGAAUGUGCCCGAAAGGGGAAAGAUUUAUCGCCAGUAAAUCAGCCCGCGUCCGAUUAGCUAGUUGGCGGGGUAAAGGCCCACCAAGGCGACGAUCGGUAGCUGUUCUGAGAGGAAGAUCAGCCACACUGGGACUGAGACACGGCCCAGACUCCUACGGGAGGCAGCAGUUGGGAAUCUUGGACAAUGGGGAAACCCUGAUCCAGCCAUGCCGCGUGAGUGAUGAAGGCCUUGGGUUGUAAAACUCUUUCGACGGGGACGAUAAUGACGGUACCCGUAGAAGAAGCUCCGGCUAACUUCGCGCCAGCAGCCGC
Molecule: ribosomal RNA, 446 nt
Filed under: uncultured bacterium
Lineage: Bacteria
Description: SSU rRNA
Rfam family: Bacterial small subunit ribosomal RNA
Source: RNAcentral